This 240-nucleotide unclassified non-coding RNA is filed under the name soil metagenome. RNAcentral's name for it is "partial contains 5.8S ribosomal RNA, internal transcribed spacer 2, and large subunit ribosomal RNA". The record is from RNAcentral.
AACCUUAUGGACCUGCGGGCGUAUACCUGCGGAAGGAUCAUUAUCGAAUAAAACAUGGAUUAGGCUGUUGCUGACUUUUUGUACGUGCACGCCUAUUCCAUUUUUAUUAAACCACCUGUGCACUUUUGCGUAGAUCUGAGAAAAUCUUUCGAGUUGCGCGCAGCUCGGUUGAAGGGAUUGCUGUGUGCUUAUUUGCCAGCUUUUCCUUAUUUUAUCGCAGAUCUAUGCUCAUACACAUAC